AGAUGAUGAUGAUGAUGAUGAUCAUGAUGAUGUUGAUGAUGAUGAUCAUGAUCAUGAUCAUGAUGA
This 66-nucleotide microRNA precursor is filed under the name Vigna radiata var. radiata (mung bean). RNAcentral's name for it is "pre miRNA mir-598". The record is from RNAcentral. Lineage: Eukaryota; Viridiplantae; Streptophyta; Magnoliopsida; Fabales; Fabaceae.